GAUGAACGCUGGCGGCGUGCCUAAUACAUGCAAGUCGAGCGAACAGACGAGGAGCUUGCUCCUCUGACGUUAGCGGCGGACGGGUGAGUAACACGUGGAUAACCUACCUAUAAGACUGGGAUAACUUCGGGAAACCGGAGCUGAUACCGGAUAAUAUAUUGAACCGCAUGGUUCAAUAGUGAAAGACGGUUUUGCUGUCCCUUAUAGAUGGAUCCGCGCCGCAUUAGCUAGUUGGUAAGGUAACGGCUUACCAAGGCGACGAUGCGUAGCCGACCUGAGAGGGUGAUCGGCCACACUGGAACUGAGACACGGUCCAGACUCCUACGGGAGGCAGCAGUAGGGAAUCUUCCGCAAUGGGCGAAAGCCUGACGGAGCAACGCCGCGUGAGUGAUGAAGGUCUUCGGAUCGUAAAACUCUGUUAUUAGGGAAGAACAAAUGUGUAAGUAACUAUGCACGUCUUGACGGUACCUAAUCAGAAAGCCACGGCUAACUACGUG
Molecule: ribosomal RNA, 497 nt
Filed under: uncultured bacterium
Lineage: Bacteria
Description: partial 16S ribosomal RNA
Rfam family: Bacterial small subunit ribosomal RNA
Source: RNAcentral